RNAcentral lists this ribosomal RNA (420 nucleotides) under uncultured eukaryote. Its description in RNAcentral is "bacterial SSU rRNA". It matches the Rfam family "Eukaryotic small subunit ribosomal RNA", at positions 592 to 1013 of the family's 1831-position model. The record is from RNAcentral.
CAAUGGCGUAUAUUAAAGUUGUUGCAGUUAAAAGCUCGUAGUUGGAUUUCUGGCAGGAGCGACCGGUCGGCCCAUUGUGGUGUGUACUAGUGUUGCAUCUGGCCAUAUUUGUGGAGAGCGUGUGUGGCAUUAAUUUGUCGUGCUCGGGACCCGCAUCGUUUACUGUGAGAAAAUUAGAGUGUUCAAAGCAGGCUUAUGCCUUGGAUAUGUUAGCAUGGAAUAAUAAGAUAAGACUUUGGCGGUCUAUUUUGUUGGUUUGCACGCCAUUGUAAUGAUUGAUAGGGACAGUUGGGGGUAUUCGUAUUACGGUGUUAGAGGUGAAAUUCUUGGAUCGCCGUAAGACGAACUACUGCGAAAGCAUUUGCCAAGAAUGUUUUCAUUAAUCAAGAUCGAAAGUCAGAGGUUCGAAGACGAUCAGAU